UACGGGAGGCAGCAGUGGGGAAUAUUGCACAAUGGGCGCAAGCCUGAUGCAGCCAUGCCGCGUGUAUGAAAAAGGCCUUCGGGUUGUAAAGUACUUUCAGUCGUGAGGAAGGUGUUAAGGUUAAUAACCUUAGCAAUUGACGUUAGCGACAGAAGAAGCACCGGCUAACUCCGUGCCAGCAGCCGCGGUAAUACGGAGGGUGCGAGCGUUAAUCGGAAUUACUGGGCGUAAAGGGCACGCAGGCGGUUAAUUAAGUUGGAUGUGAAAUCCCCGGGCUUAACCUGGGAAUGGCAUUCAAGACUGGUUAGCUAGAGUCUUGUAGAGGGGGUAGAAUUCCAUGUGUAGCGGUGAAAUGCGUAGAGAUGUGGAGGAAUACCGGUGCGAAGGCGGCCCCUGGACAAGACUGACGCUCAUGUGCGAAAGCGUGGGGAGCAAAC
RNAcentral lists this ribosomal RNA (437 nucleotides) under uncultured bacterium. Its description in RNAcentral is "bacterial SSU rRNA". It matches the Rfam family "Bacterial small subunit ribosomal RNA", at positions 340 to 773 of the family's 1533-position model. The record is from RNAcentral.